GACGAACGCUGGCGGCGUGCCUAAUACAUGCAAGUUGAGCGAUGAAGAUUGGUGCUUGCACCAAUUUGAAGAGCAGCGAACGGGUGAGUAACGCGUGGGGAAUCUGCCUUUGAGCGGGGGACAACAUUUGGAAACGAAUGCUAAUACCGCAUAAUAACUUUAAACAUAAGUUUUAAGUUUGAAAGAUGCAAUUGCAUCACUCAAAGAUGAUCCCGCGUUGUAUUAGCUAGUUGGUGAGGUAAAGGCUCACCAAGGCGAUGAUACAUAGCCGACCUGAGAGGGUGAUCGGCCACAUUGGGACUGAGACACGGCCCAAACUCCUACGGGAGGCAGCAGUAGGGAAUCUUCGGCAAUGGACGAAAGUCUGACCGAGCAACGCCGCGUGAGUGAAGAAGGUGUUCGGAUCGUAAAACUCUGUUGGUAGAGAAGAACGUUGGUGAGAGUGGAAAGCUCAUCAAGUGACGGUAACUACCCAGAAAGGGACGGCGAACUACGU
This 496-nucleotide ribosomal RNA is filed under the name uncultured bacterium. Its description in RNAcentral is "partial 16S ribosomal RNA". It matches the Rfam family "Bacterial small subunit ribosomal RNA", at positions 28 to 506 of the family's 1533-position model. The record is from RNAcentral.